AAAUAGAACUUUGCAGAGAGAGUUAACAGGGCGUGAAACCGUUAAUUGGCAAACGAAUCGGAGCCACGAAGUCGUUUCGAUGCUAGUUGGGCCAGGUUCAGUUUGGAAUCAAAAAUUCCGGGCGUAUUCUUGGUGCAACCAUUGUAAGCGUACACUGCAACCAGUUAGACAAUUGAAGAUGGAAUCAGUUACUAGGGUUAGUAGUAGUAGGGGAUGCUUCGGUAUUUCCUGUUGCUGGGCGCCUAGUAAGUGAACUAUCUUCAAAUACUGACUGGCACAUUGAAAACCGCCCCUAUGGGCGUUUCACACAAUGCUGUUGGCUAUACAGUAGCCUACAUGCGCGACCAUGGGGUUUUAAGCUCGACAUCUUCGAAUUUGGACUGGCCAUCUACUAAAGGGCAACUUUUGGUGUUGGUUUAGCUUCCAUCUAAUCAGGUGUUGACUUGAUUCUAUGUUGUUCGAACAUGAAACGAUUGGGCUGUUGUAUAAGCUAAUAAGCCAUUGAUUGGCAGUGAGUAGGUCGGCUUUCCGAACGACCCGUCUUGAAACACGGACCAAGGAGUCUAAUUAGGCAUCGAGUCGAUCGGUCUUGAAUAGGCCAGACUAGGGAUCUCUCCCUGAUUGAAGGCGUAGAGACAUGUGAUCAGGGCGACAACAACAGUCCCUAUGCGCAACAUGUGCCUGUUCGUAUAACAAUGUGUAAAAUUGUUGGCGGAGCAAAGAGAUGCCUGAUUGGUACCCGAAAGAUGGUGAGCUUGGGCAAGUUGAAGCCAGAGGAAACUCUGGUGGAGGACUGUAGCGAUUCUGACGUGCAAAUCGAUCGUCAGACCUGAGUAUAGGGGCGAAAGACUAAUCGAACCAUC
RNAcentral lists this ribosomal RNA (863 nucleotides) under Rhombacus sp. GX31. RNAcentral describes it as "partial large subunit ribosomal RNA". It matches the Rfam family "Eukaryotic large subunit ribosomal RNA", at positions 366 to 944 of the family's 3401-position model. The record is from RNAcentral. Lineage: Eukaryota; Metazoa; Arthropoda; Arachnida; Trombidiformes; Eriophyidae.